RNAcentral lists this microRNA (24 nucleotides) under Brassica napus (rape). Its description in RNAcentral is "bna-miR6031". The record is from miRBase by way of RNAcentral. Lineage: Eukaryota; Viridiplantae; Streptophyta; Magnoliopsida; Brassicales; Brassicaceae.
AAGAGGUUCGGAGCGGUUUGAAGC